RNAcentral lists this transfer RNA (69 nucleotides) under Latreillia valida. Its description in RNAcentral is "tRNA-Pro". The record is from RNAcentral. Lineage: Eukaryota; Metazoa; Arthropoda; Malacostraca; Decapoda; Latreilliidae.
UCAGAGAAUAGUUUAAUUAAAAUAUUAACUUUGGAAGUUAAAGAUAUUAAUAACAUUUUUUUCUUUGAA